RNAcentral lists this ribosomal RNA (380 nucleotides) under uncultured Bacteroidota bacterium. RNAcentral describes it as "bacterial SSU rRNA". It matches the Rfam family "Bacterial small subunit ribosomal RNA", at positions 522 to 904 of the family's 1533-position model. Lineage: Bacteria; Pseudomonadati; Bacteroidota. The record is from RNAcentral.
AAUACGGAAGGUCCGGGCGUUAUCCGGAUUUAUUGGGUUUAAAGGGAGCGUAGGCCGGAGAUUAAGCGUGUUGUGAAAUGUAGACGCUCAACGUCUGCACUGCAGCGCGAACUGGUUUCCUUGAGUACGCACAAAGUGGGCGGAAUUCGUGGUGUAGCGGUGAAAUGCUUAGAUAUCACGAAGAACUCCGAUUGCGAAGGCAGCUCACUGGAGCGCAACUGACGCUGAAGCUCGAAAGUGCGGGUAUCGAACAGGAUUAGAUACCCUGGUAGUUCGCACGGUAAACGAUGGAUGCCCGCUGUUGGUCUGAAUAGGUCAGCGGCCAAGCGAAAGCAUUAAGCAUCCCACCUGGGGAGUACGCCGGCAACGGUGCAACUCAA